GCAAAUGAUGAGUUAAAACAUUCUUCACUUUGACCUGAUUGACAGGUGAUGAUAAAUUUGACUGAAC
This 67-nucleotide small nucleolar RNA is filed under the name Tetraodon nigroviridis (spotted green pufferfish). RNAcentral's name for it is "Small nucleolar RNA SNORD37 (ENSTNIG00000020520.1)". Lineage: Eukaryota; Metazoa; Chordata; Actinopteri; Tetraodontiformes; Tetraodontidae. The record is from RNAcentral.